Long non-coding RNA from Cheilinus undulatus (humphead wrasse), 326 nucleotides. RefSeq lists it as uncharacterized. The record is from RefSeq and is a predicted model, not a curated record. Lineage: Eukaryota; Metazoa; Chordata; Actinopteri; Labriformes; Labridae. The transcript is spliced from 3 exons.
ACAAGCCUCAAAUGGAACCUGAGAAGAAGGAAAAAGAGGAGAAACAAGAGAGGAGAGGAGGAGGGGAGGGAGAAAAUCAAUUUUCUCAGACAGAGGCAGGCUGGUCUAAUGGAGGUCUAAAAGAAGAGGAGGAGGAGAGGACGUAUUUUCUUCUGAUUACCUCCUCUAGCUUCCCCAACAAACCUUGAAAGCUAGCAUCGCUAACGUUGCCUCCCUCAUCCGACCUUUCACUGAAGGUUGAACAUUUUUGAUGCUAGAGAAAAAUAAGGAGAUACAAUCCAUUGUUGAAGGCAUCAUCACUCACUCAGGGUGAAAUGAGCAGGAAG